AGCGAACGCUGGCGGCAGGCCUAACACAUGCAAGUCGAACGAACUCUUCGGAGUUAGUGGCGGACGGGUGAGUAACACGUGGGAACGUGCCUUUAGGUUCGGAAUAACUCAGGGAAACUUGUGCUAAUACCGAAUGUGCCCUUCGGGGGAAAGAUUUAUCGCCUUUAGAGCGGCCCGCGUCUGAUUAGCUAGUUGGUGAGGUAAAGGCUCACCAAGGCGUCGAUCAGUAGCUGGUCUGAGAGGAUGAUCAGCCACAUUGGGACUGGGACACGGCCCAAACUCCGACGGGGGGCAGCAGUGGGGAAUCUUGCACAAUGGGCGAAAGCCUGACGCAGCCAUGCCGCGUGAAUGAUGAAGGUCUUAGGAUUGUAAAAUUCUUUCACCGGGGACGAUAAUGACGGUACCCGGAGGAGAAGCCCCGGCUAACUUCGUGCCAGCCGCCGCCGUAA
This 449-nucleotide ribosomal RNA is filed under the name uncultured bacterium. RNAcentral describes it as "partial 16S ribosomal RNA". It matches the Rfam family "Bacterial small subunit ribosomal RNA", at positions 29 to 523 of the family's 1533-position model. The record is from RNAcentral.